GACAGAGGAUGCAAGCGUUAUCCAGAAUGAUUGGGCGUAAAGCGUCUGUAGGUGGCUUUUUAAGUUCGCUGUCAAAUCCCAGGGCUCAACACUGGAUAGGUGGUGAAAACUACUAAGCUAGAGUACGGUAGGGGCAGAGGGAAUUUCUGAUGGAGCAAUGAAAUGCAUAGAGAUCGGAAGGAACACCAACGGCGAAAGCACUCUACUGGGCCGACACUGACACUGAGAGACGAAAGCUAGGGGAGAGAAU
Molecule: ribosomal RNA, 250 nt
Filed under: uncultured bacterium
Lineage: Bacteria
Description: partial 16S ribosomal RNA
Rfam family: Bacterial small subunit ribosomal RNA
Source: RNAcentral